AACACGUGAGUAACCUGCCCUUAACUUCGGGAUAAGCCUGGGAAACCGGGUCUAAUACCGGAUACGACGGACCACCGCAUGGCGGUCCGUGGAAAGCUUGAUGCGGUUUUGGAUGGACUCGCGGCCUAUCAGCUAGUUGGUUGGGGUAAUGGCCCACCAAGGCGACGACGGGUAGCCGGCCUGAGAGGGUGACCGGCCACACUGGGACUGAGACACGGCCCAGACUCCUACGGGAGGCAGCAGUGGGGAAUAUUGCACAAUGGGCGAAAGCCUGAUGCAGCGACGCCGCGUGAGGGACGAAGGCCUUCGGGUUGUAAACCUCUUUCAGCAGGGAAGAAGCGAAAGUGACGGUACCUGCAGAAGAAGCGCCGGCUAACUACGUGCCAGCAGCCGCGGUAAUACGUAGGGCGCAAGCGUUAUCCGGAAUUAUUGGGCGUAAAGAGCUCGUAGGCGGUUUGUCGCGUCUGCUGUG
Molecule: ribosomal RNA, 472 nt
Filed under: Arthrobacter citreus
Lineage: Bacteria; Bacillati; Actinomycetota; Actinomycetes; Micrococcales; Micrococcaceae
Description: bacterial SSU rRNA
Rfam family: Bacterial small subunit ribosomal RNA
Source: RNAcentral